Long non-coding RNA from Homo sapiens (human), 681 nucleotides. The record is from Ensembl. NCBI's taxonomy places the organism in Eukaryota, Metazoa, Chordata, Mammalia, Primates, Hominidae.
UGUUUGCCAGGGGCUCUCGGACCUUAGGCCACAGACGGAAGGCUGCACCGUCUGCUUCCCCACUUUUGAGGUGUUGGGACUUGGACUGAUCCACUACUGGCUUCCUUGCUCCUCAACUUGCAGACGGCCUAUCGUGGGACUUUACCUUGUGAUUGUGAAGAGGGUUUAACUCUGCAACAUAAUCAGUGCACAGAAACCUAAAUUGGAAAUCUCUUUCACUACAGACAAGACAGUUCAGAAGUGAAAAGUCACAGUAAAAUUGGGCAUUUCUUUCCAUAGACUUAACAGAAGCAACACCUGGAUUCCAGCAGCUGUACUGGUGUAACUGGCACUUGAACGUCUCCAUCCAAGUGCCCCUUUGUGGCAGAUGAAGAGUUCAGGUUUUGUUCCUCAUCAGCUUUGUGACCUUGGGCAAAGUCCUUGACCUAUCAGAGCCUCAAUUUCCCUAUCUGUGGAAAGACGACCAUGAAAAAAUAUGCACUAUGGGGUGGUUCUGGUGGGGAGAGUUAAAUUAGAUAUAAUUUAGAAAUUCUUAGCAUAAUAUUUGUAUCAUAUAUAUGUUUAUAUAUGUUAAUAUGUAACACAUAAUAGUAUAUAAGAAAGUCAUCUAUAUGAACUUCACACAGCAUAUUAUAUUAUAUAUACACACUACAUGGUGUAUAUGACAUAUACUAUCUAAUA